RNAcentral lists this ribosomal RNA (177 nucleotides) under Tanakia limbata (oily bitterling). Its description in RNAcentral is "partial 12S ribosomal RNA". Lineage: Eukaryota; Metazoa; Chordata; Actinopteri; Cypriniformes; Acheilognathidae. The record is from RNAcentral.
UACCGCGGUUAAACGAGAGGCCCCAGUUGAUAAUAUCGCGGCGUAAAGGGUGGUCAAGGGCUGCAACCUAAUAAAGCGAAAUAGCCCUCCGGCCGUCAUACGCUUCCAGGCGCUAGAAACCCAAUUACACGAAGGUAGCUUUAGCAAUAUUCACCUGACUCCACGAAAGCUGAGAAA